RNAcentral lists this non-coding RNA (68 nucleotides) under Alkalibacterium thalassium. The record is from RNAcentral. Lineage: Bacteria; Bacillati; Bacillota; Bacilli; Lactobacillales; Carnobacteriaceae.
CGCUUAGUAGUAACAACGAAUGGCGAGAAGUCAGCCGAGGUCGUAGUAGGGAAAAUGUACCGAAGGAC